RNAcentral lists this ribosomal RNA (449 nucleotides) under uncultured bacterium. RNAcentral's name for it is "partial 16S ribosomal RNA". It matches the Rfam family "Bacterial small subunit ribosomal RNA", at positions 355 to 793 of the family's 1533-position model. The record is from RNAcentral.
UGGGGAAUUUUGGACAAUGGGCGAAAGCCUGAUCCAGCAAUGCCGCGUGUGUGAAGAAGGCCUUCGGGUUGUAAAGCACUUUUGUCCGGAAAGAAAUCCUUGGCUCUAAUACAGUCGGGGGAUACGGUACCGGAAGAAUAAGCACCGGCUAACUACGUGCCAGCAGCCGCGGUAAUACGUAGGGUGCAAGCGUUAAUCGGAAUUACUGGGCGUAAAGCGUGCGCAGGCGGUUUGCUAAGACCGAUGUGAAAUCCCCGGGCUCAACCUGGGAACUGCAUUGGUGACUGGCAGGCUAGAGUAUGGCAGAGGGGGGUAGAAUUCCACGUGUAGCAGUGAAAUGCGUAGAGAUGUGGAGGAAUACCGAUGGCGAAGGCAGCCCCCUGGGGCCAAAUACUGACGCUCAUGCACGAAAGCGUGGGGGAGCAAAACAGGAUUNGAUACCCUGGUAG